UACGGAGGAUGCAAGCGUUAUCCGGAAUGAUUGGGCGUAAAGCGUCCGCAGGUGGCUAUGUAAGUCUGCUGUUAAAGAGUGAGGCUCAACCUCAUAAGAGCAGUGGAAACUACAUGGCUAGAGUGCGUUCGGGGCAGAGGGAAUUCCUGGUGUAGCGGUGAAAUGCGUAGAUAUCAGGAAGAACAUCGGUGGCGAAGGCGCUCUGCUGGACCAUAACUGACACUCAGGGACGAAAGCUAGGGGAGCGAAUGGG
Molecule: ribosomal RNA, 253 nt
Filed under: uncultured bacterium
Lineage: Bacteria
Description: partial 16S ribosomal RNA
Rfam family: Bacterial small subunit ribosomal RNA
Source: RNAcentral